UAAGGGUUAGUUAAUAUAUAACAUAAGGUUGUCAAUCUUAAAUUAAAAGUAUUCCACAGAU
Molecule: transfer RNA, 61 nt
Filed under: Porcellio dilatatus dilatatus
Lineage: Eukaryota; Metazoa; Arthropoda; Malacostraca; Isopoda; Porcellionidae
Description: tRNA-Asp
Source: RNAcentral